UACGUAGGGGGCAAGCGUUGUCCGGAUUUAUUGGGCGUAAAGCGCGUGUAGGCGGCCACGCAGGUCCGCUGUGAAAACUCGAGGCUCAACCUCGAGAUGUCGGUGGAAACCGCGUGGCUAGAGUCCGGAAGAGGAGAGUGGAAUUCCCGGUGUAGCGGUGAAAUGCGUAGAUAUUCGGAAGAACACCAGUGGCGAAGGCGGCUCACUGGUCCGGUACUGACGCUGAGGUGCGAAAGCGUGGGGAGCAAACAGG
RNAcentral lists this ribosomal RNA (253 nucleotides) under uncultured bacterium. RNAcentral's name for it is "partial 16S ribosomal RNA". It matches the Rfam family "Bacterial small subunit ribosomal RNA", at positions 524 to 776 of the family's 1533-position model. The record is from RNAcentral.